CAUUUUCUGAACACCACAGUUUUCAAAAAAGCUAGCGAGUAGUAGUUUUGUUUUUUUAUAAAGACAGGGUCUCACUCUUACAAAGCCCAGCCCAAGCUAGAGUGCAGUGGUGUAAUCACAGCUCACUGCAGCCUCAACCUCCCGGGAUCAAGUGAUCCUCCCGAGCCUCAGUCUCCCAAGUAGCUGGGACUACAGGCGUCCACCACCAAGCCCAGCUAAUUUUUUUAUGUUUUGCAGAGACAAGGUCCCGCUAUGUUUCCCUGGCUGGUCUCAAACUCCUGGGCUCAAGUGAUCCUUCCACCUCGGCCUCCCAAAGUGCUGGGAUUAUAGGCAUGAGUCCCCAAGCCUGGCUGAUAGUAGCAGUUUCUGAAUCUUGUCUGGGGCCCAAAUCUGGCUGAAGAGAGACCCUCUGAUCCUCUCCCCCUUCACUCAGUGAAUGAGGUCACAAAGAGCCACCACCUGGAAGGCAGCUGUGAGGUCACCCACACCCAGUUUGGCAUCUCUGAGCUGUGUGCUGUUGCACCAUGGCGUCGACCAGCACUGAAGGCCUGGGAACAACCUCCCCA
RNAcentral lists this long non-coding RNA (566 nucleotides) under Homo sapiens (human). RNAcentral describes it as "HSALNT0385161". The record is from RNAcentral. Lineage: Eukaryota; Metazoa; Chordata; Mammalia; Primates; Hominidae.